CCUGCCCAGAAUGGUUCCGAUUACG
This 25-nucleotide microRNA is filed under the name Equus caballus (horse). Lineage: Eukaryota; Metazoa; Chordata; Mammalia; Perissodactyla; Equidae. The record is from RNAcentral.